Molecule: ribosomal RNA, 496 nt
Filed under: uncultured bacterium
Lineage: Bacteria
Description: partial 16S ribosomal RNA
Rfam family: Bacterial small subunit ribosomal RNA
Source: RNAcentral
GACGCCCGCUUUCUUCUUUCCUAAUACAUGCAAGUUGAGCGCUCAAGUUUGGUGCUUGUUCCUACUGGAUGAGCAGCGAACGGGUGAGUAACGCGUGGGGAAUCUGCCUUUAAGCGGGGGACAACAUUUGGAAACGAAUGCUAAUACCGCAUAAAAUCUUUAAACACAAGUUUUAAGAGUGAAAGACGCAAUUGCAUCACUCAAAGGUUAUCCCGCGUUGCAUUAGCUAUUUGGGAAGGUAAAGGCUCACCAAGGCAAUGAUACGUAGCCGACCUGAGAGGGGGAUCGACGACACUGGAACUGAGACACGGUCCAGACUCCUACGGGAGGCAGCAGUAGGGAAUCUUCCGCAAUGGGCGAAAGCCUGACGGAGCAACGGCGCGUGAGUGAUGAAGGUCUUCGGAUCGUAAAACUCUGUUAUUAGGGAAGAACAAAUGUGUAAGUAACUAUGCACGUCUUGACGGUACCUAAUCAGAAAGCCACGGCUAACUACGUG